GACGAACGCUGGCGGCGUGCUUAACACAUGCAAGUCGAACGGUAAGGCCCUUCGGGGUACACGAGUGGCGAACGGGUGAGUAGCACGUGGGUGAUCUGCCCUGCACUUCGGGAUAAGCCUGGGAAACUGGGUCUAAUACCGGAUAGGACUCCUGGCUUCAUGGUUGGGGGUGGAAGGCUUUUGCGGUGUGGGAUGGGCCCGCGGCCUAUCAGCUUGUUGGUGGGGUAAUGGCCUACCAAGGCGACGACGGGUAGCCGGCCUGAGAGGGUGACCGGUCACACUGGGACUGAGAUACGGCCCAGACUCCUACGGGAGGCAGCAGUGGGGAAUAUUGCACAAUGGGCGCAAGCCUGAUGCAGCGACGCCGCGUGAGGGAUGACGGCCUUCGGGUUGUAAACCUCUUUCAGCUAUGACGAAGCGCAAGUGACGGUAGUAGCAGAAGAAGGACCGGCCAACUACGUGCCAGCCGCCGCAGUAA
This 478-nucleotide ribosomal RNA is filed under the name uncultured bacterium. RNAcentral describes it as "partial 16S ribosomal RNA". It matches the Rfam family "Bacterial small subunit ribosomal RNA", at positions 28 to 523 of the family's 1533-position model. The record is from RNAcentral.